UUGGAGGGCAAGUCUGGUGCCCGCAGCCGCGGUAAUUCCAGCUCCAAUAGCGUAUAUUAAAGUUGUUGCAGUUAAAAAGCUCGUAGUUGAAUUUCGAGACCGGCUUACUGGUCGUGCUAUUGUACGUACUGGUAUAAUCGGUUUCUCCUUUCUGACGAACUAUAAUGCCAUUAAUUUGGUGUUUUAGGGAAUCAGGACUGUUACUUUGAAAAAAUUAGAGUGUUUAAAGCAGGCUCACGCUUGAAUACAUUAGCAUGGAAUAACGGAAUAGGACGUUUGAUUCUAUUUUGUUGGUUUCUAGGAUCGACGUAAUGAUUAAUAGGGAUAGUUGGGGGCAUUAGUAUUCAAUUGUCAGAGGUGAAAUUCUUGGAUUUAUUGAAGGCUAACUACUGCGAAAGCAUUUGCCAAGGAUAUUUUCAUUAAUCAAGAACGAAAGUUAGGGGAUCGAAGACGAUCAGAUACCGUCGUAGUCUUAACCAUAAACUAUGCCGACUAGGGAUCGGAUGAUGUUAAUUUUUUAAUGACUCAUUCGGCGCCUUACGGGAAAC
This 548-nucleotide ribosomal RNA is filed under the name uncultured Glomeromycotina. RNAcentral's name for it is "SSU rRNA". It matches the Rfam family "Eukaryotic small subunit ribosomal RNA", at positions 548 to 1098 of the family's 1831-position model. Lineage: Eukaryota; Fungi; Glomeromycota. The record is from RNAcentral.